UCGCGGCGAAGCUGGAGGUGCUGGCGGAGGAGCUGCUUGACUUGCUGUGCGAGAAUCUGGGACUGGAGAAGGGAUAUCUGAAGAAGGCCUUCUGCGGGUCGAAAGGGCCGACCUUCGGCACGAAGGUGAGCAACUACCCUCCGUGCCCGAAGCCCGAUCUGAUCAAGGGGCUCCGGGCCCACACGGACGCCGGCGGCAUCAUCCUCCUCUUCCAGGACGACAAGGUGAGCGGCCUGCAGCUCCUCAAAGACGGCGAGUGGGUGGACGUGCCGCCCAUGCGCCACUCCAUCGUCAUCAACAUCGGCGACCAGCUCGAGGUGAUCACCAAUGGCAGAUACAAGAGCGUGAUGCACAGAGUGAUCGCGCAGACCGACGGCACGCGGAUGUCGCUCGCCUCCUUCUACAACCCCGGCAGCGACGCCGUGAUCUAUCCGGCGCCGGCGCUCGUGGAGAAGGACGGCUGCCAACAGCUCUACCCCAAAUUCGUGUUCGAGGACUACAUGAAGCUCUAUGCCGGGGUGAAGUUCCAGGCCAAGGAGCCCAGGUUCGAGGCCUUCAAGAACACUGCUACACUGGGACAGAUCGCAACUGCUUGAGUGCUUCAUUAAUU
RNAcentral lists this long non-coding RNA (610 nucleotides) under Salvia miltiorrhiza (redroot sage). Its description in RNAcentral is "long non-coding RNA (SMIL_LNC000544)". The record is from RNAcentral. Lineage: Eukaryota; Viridiplantae; Streptophyta; Magnoliopsida; Lamiales; Lamiaceae.